AGAUCUUGCUGUGGGCCAGGUAUCCAUUCUCCUGCGACAGCUGUAGAACCUACGGAGACUAGAGGUCCGUGGGUGGUGGAGGAUCAUAACAAAAAAAGGAAAGGCGAGUGCUCCUGUGUCCCCUCCAGGCCGCACGCAGUUUCAGAACCUUUCUUCAGACUUUAGAGUGACUUGGCAGUUGUUUCCUCCUCCUUUCUUUUUGCAAAAGAUUCGUGAAGAAUUGUGUGAUGGUUCAUCUCAGUUGUCAGCUUGACAGGAUCUAGAAUCACCUAGGAGACAAGCCUCUGCACAUGCCUGUGAGGGAUCAUCCAGAAUGGAGGAUGUUAUUAUGGAACUUUAGCUGGCCUGGAACUCAUA
Molecule: long non-coding RNA, 357 nt
Organism: Psammomys obesus (fat sand rat)
Lineage: Eukaryota; Metazoa; Chordata; Mammalia; Rodentia; Muridae
Exons: 4
Source: RefSeq, a predicted model, not a curated record